RNAcentral lists this ribosomal RNA (253 nucleotides) under uncultured bacterium. RNAcentral's name for it is "partial 16S ribosomal RNA". It matches the Rfam family "Bacterial small subunit ribosomal RNA", at positions 524 to 776 of the family's 1533-position model. The record is from RNAcentral.
UACGAAGGGGGCUAGCGUUGCUCGGAAUUACUGGGCGUAAAGAGCGUGUAGGCGGCCUGAAAGGUCAGCUGUGAAAACUCGAGGCUCAACCUCGAGACGUCGGUUGAAACCAUCUGGCUAGAGUCCGGAAGAGGAGUGUGGAAUUCCCGGUGUAGCGGUGAAAUGCGCAGAUAUCGGGAAGAACACCCGUGGCGAAGGCGGCACUCUGGGACGGUACUGACGCUGAGACGCGAAAGCGUGGGGAGCGAACAGG